AUCACAUUCUUUUUCCACUAUCUACACCACAGUCGAGAGCCAUGAGCAGACAUCUCUUCUCCCUCGCUUCAUUGCCGAUAGCCGCCAUUGUCACUUCUCCUCCACUCUUUCUCAUUGGUGCCACCAUCGUCCCUUCUCCUCCAGCCCUUCUCCUCUAACCCUUCUCAGCGGCACAACCCAACCACUAUUUUAAUCAAAGCAACAACAGGUCGACGGUGAAGAAAAUUGUAGCCAUCAGCAGACACCAUUCAACGACACCAUCAGCAGUAGGUUGACAGCAAAGGAAAUUGCAGUAGGCAUUUGAUAUUCGAGCCACUGCUUCAUGGAUUUUACAAUUGACAGUUAAGAGGAGCAUCUACAGCCAUGAUGCAUUCAGGUGGAUGCUGAGAGAUUAAAGAGUAAAAGAUAAGCUCUCUUUUGCAUAAUUUGUAUUUAUACCAAGAAAAUAAGACAGUUCUGGAUUGAAGAUGAUGACAUGAUAUCCCUUUUCAUGAAAUUAAAAUAAAAAAGUCUGAAAGUUGUAAUAUUAUAUUACAUUGCCAAAUUACAUUACUUUCUCUUA
Long non-coding RNA from Manihot esculenta (cassava), 562 nucleotides. RefSeq lists it as uncharacterized. The transcript is spliced from 2 exons. NCBI's taxonomy places the organism in Eukaryota, Viridiplantae, Streptophyta, Magnoliopsida, Malpighiales, Euphorbiaceae. The record is from RefSeq and is a predicted model, not a curated record.